This 576-nucleotide ribosomal RNA is filed under the name Cytobacillus oceanisediminis. RNAcentral describes it as "bacterial SSU rRNA". It matches the Rfam family "Bacterial small subunit ribosomal RNA", at positions 57 to 616 of the family's 1533-position model. Lineage: Bacteria; Bacillati; Bacillota; Bacilli; Caryophanales; Bacillaceae. The record is from RNAcentral.
GCAGUCGAGCGGACAGAUGGGAGCUUGCUCCCUGAAGUCAGCGGCGGACGCGUGAGUAACACGUGGGCAACCUGCCUGUAAGACUGGGAUAACUCCGGGAAACCGGGGCUAAUACCGGAUAAUUCUUUCCCUCACAUGAGGGAAAGCUGACAGAUGGUUUCGGCUAUCACUUACAGAUGGGCCCGCGGCGCAUUAGCUAGUUGGUGAGGUAACGGCUCACCAAGGCAACGAUGCGUAGCCGACCUGAGAGGGUGAUCGGCCACACUGGGACUGACACACGGCCCACACUCCUACGGGAGGCAGCAGUAGGGAAUCUUCCGCAAUGGACGAAAGUCUGACGGAGCAACGCCGCGUGAGUGAUGAAGGUUUUCGGAUCGUAAAACUCUGUUGUUAGGGAAGAACAAGUACCGGAGUAACUGCCGGUACCUUGACGGUACCUAACCAGAAAUCCACGGCUAACUACGUGCCAGCAGCCGCGGAAAUACCUAGGUGGCAAGCGUUGUCCGGAAUUAUUGGGCGUAAAGCGCGCGCAGGUGGUUCCUUAAGUCUGAUGUGAAAACCCCCCGGCUCAACCGG